AUUUGGGUGUGAGCUUGGAAACUGGUCGGCACUGUUUCCGUUAUUGUGUGUUGGAAGCUCCAACUCGAUGGCGGCUUUUCGGAGAAUGAUUAGCUUAGGAUCGAACAGAACUUUGACUCCACCCUCUCUUCUCACUUUCCGCAGAGGAAUCGCUUUCAAGCUCUUCGUUGGAGGAUUGUCUGUGCACACGACGGAGAAAGGAUUGACUGAUGCUUUCUCUGAUUGCGGACAAGUAAUUGAAGCUAAAAUUAUAACAGACAGGGUAUCGGAGAGAUCUAAAGGGUUUGGGUUCGUCACCUUUGCUUCACGGGAUGAGGCUGCGAAUGCCAUUUCACAGAUGAAUGGGAAGGCACUAAAUGGCCGCGAUAUCUUUGUUGAUUAUGCGAAACCAACUUAUUCCAAGAGUACUGGAAUGCCCAUUGCAAGAGGACCCCCUGAACUCCCCACAGUUGAUAGUUGAUUUUCCAUAUGAGAUAUUGUAUUUGAUGCAGCUGAAUUAAGCCCACAAUAUUUUGCAGACCGAGUAGGUAGCAUGUGCAGAACUGAGUAUCUUUUAGGAUCAUGGAUGCACACAAUUACAACAAUUACAAGAAUUGCUCAGCAGAACAAAGUAAUAGAUUCAACGUAGCGGUGAGGGUGAGACAUUUGGUCUGCUAGGGUUUUUUUUCCCUCUUUCAAUCACUGUAGCGGUGUAGCCAUUCUCUCUUCCUCUCCCUCCGCAGUCUCUCUCGUUCGCUUCAGCCGCCGCCGCAACCCGCUUCAUCCGCCGCCGCGCAACAAUCUUCCGCCGCUGCGCAACCCGCUUCCCCUGCCGCCGCGCAACACGCUUACCCGCCGCCGCAACCUAAUUUUCUAUUAGGUGUCGUUUUUUCCCAAUCUCUUGUAUAUGAUAUAUUUUAUUGUUAAUUGUCCCUUUAUGUGUUUUAAUCUAUGUUAAUUGCUUUCAUAUUUUUUGUAUAAUUCAAAUGUGCAGUUGUCCUUUAAGCUUUU
Non-coding RNA from Arachis ipaensis, 990 nucleotides. The record is from RefSeq and is a predicted model, not a curated record. NCBI's taxonomy places the organism in Eukaryota, Viridiplantae, Streptophyta, Magnoliopsida, Fabales, Fabaceae.